CCAGAAUAUAUGAAGAUAAUAAAGAUGCACAGUAGCAUUAUAAAUUUCAGGGAAAAAAUUGAAAUACAGGAAUAUAAAUUACUUUGUUUCCUCUAACGUCUUAAGAGUGGAAAACCAGCAGUGGGAGUGAAGAGCCAGAGAAAGGGUUGAGACUCAUCGUGCCAUGGGGAAAAAGCCGUGAUUCGCCAUAUGUCAGAGACUUAGAAAGAAGCUGUACUCCUUUUGCCAGGAUGUAACUGAACAAAUUGACUGUGCAACCAAGGCCUUCCCUGGCGUUCCAACUUUGAGGAUAACUUGCAUUGAAUCAGGUGAACCGAGAACAGUCUGUACAGACAGAGGCAAAUGCUGGAAAAGCCCUUUCUGCAACGGGCUAAGGAAGGGAGAGUAAAUGGAAAGCAGCUAUUGCAGAACAGCUGAGAAUAUGGAGCAAAAGAGAUUAAAGAGUCAACCAGGGCAGCUGAAAGGAGGCAAGUUUGUAACUUUUGGGAAUCUCCUGGAAUCAGGGGCCGAGUGUUGCCACUGGCGUGGCAGUCUAUCAAGUAAAGACAACUGAGAAAUAUUGGAAUUGGGCCACUCUCUGCUGCAGUGGAUCCAGGAUAGGUACAGGAAUCGGAUCCCUGUGUUUGGCACUGGCCUUGCCCCUCUGUAGAUGUGCUGGAAGUCAUAACUUUGAGCUGUAUCUGUUAUUUGAUGCCAGGUUUCGAUGAAAUAAUAUUUCAAAAGGGCACAUACAUUUUUUAAAAUGCUUUAAAAAUGUAAACAAUUCAUCUGUUAAUUACUAUCUUCCAAUAUUUUCAUGUUUAUAAGUGCAAAAUAUAGAGAAUGGCUAUCUAUUUGAUCUUGGCCUAUAAACUUUUUUUUCACUUUUUAAUUUAUAUUAGGAACAACAGGGCUAAGUUAAUUUUACUUUUCCUCAAGCGGCAUUAAAAUAUGAAUCACAUUACCCUGCUUUUACAAAGAUACAAUGUAUCUUUACCAUCUCAGAUUUCGCAUCUUAUUCUUUUCUUAAAAAUAAACAAAACUGCUUUUAUUUUAAGCAACCAGUUCUGUAGGUGAUCUGCUCCACAACUGACCAUGCUUUCCUUUCAUUUUUAAAAAUAUAUGACAUAAUAUCUGGAAUCAAUUUUGGGAAAGAAAAAUUCUUUUCAUAUGCCAUUCACACAACAGAGAAAGACUUAAAUAGGUUUUAUGGUAUGUGAGAUUUCUGGAGUUUCUUUAGUUUUAUAAGAAGAUGUAUAUAUUUUCUUCAUCAUAUUGUAUUAUUUCUCAAAUAUUGUUCUGUUACUGGGGCAAAAUAUGGACAUCAAUGCCCAGAAUAAAACAUACUUAGUUUCUGCUAGAGUAAGUGAAACUAAGUAUACACUCAGUGAUAAAAUACCACUAUGCACAAAGAUAAAUUUCUUUUUUGUAUGUGUCACAAAUAAAUGUUAAAGCAGUUACUCUUCUGAAUUUAGCUAUAAAUGUUAAAAAAACUAUGUGGAUGUCCACUUAGAGUUUUUAAAACAUUUACAUACUCUCUUCUCUAACACAACCCUGAAGGGUUUUUAUUGAUUUCAGUGCUUUGCCUUGAUUCAGGAAAAACAUGCAUUUGGACUUUUCACAGGCCAAUGAAUACUAAAAAUUAACAUUUAAGGCACAUUCAAAAUGUGAAAGGC
This 1655-nucleotide long non-coding RNA is filed under the name Equus caballus (horse). RNAcentral describes it as "lncRNA (ENSECAG00000052156.1)". The record is from RNAcentral. Lineage: Eukaryota; Metazoa; Chordata; Mammalia; Perissodactyla; Equidae.